UUUUUUGAGGAACCUCCAUACUGUUUUCCAGAGUGGCUGCACCAGCUUGCAUUCCCAUCAGUAAGUAUUUUGUAAGAUAAAUGAAAAAUUGAAGAACUGGAAUCAUUCAGCAACCUGACCAGUGCCAUAAGAUCCCAAUCUCCCCAUCACAUACAUUCUCUUUGGCCCCUCUGGCACUCUCUGAUUCACAUCUAUACAAUUUUGAACUGCAUGAUCAUGGAAAAGUAGAACUCAAGACAAGAGAAAGUUUAGAGGUCUCUUGCGGUUCCACCACCUUAUUCUCCUUUUCCCCACACCCAAGAGCCACAUUCCCAGCUUAGUAUGCCCAUCGUGCCCUCUGCAAAGGUGGCGUCCUGCCCCACUCUGCCUUUGACCCACCUAAGGAUUCCACACAUAUUCCUUCUCCUGUGCAAUCCCACUCAACAAGCACUUAUUAAAAACCAUCUGUACAAGUUAUACCAUGCCAGGCUCUAAGGAGAAGAGCAGAAAUUAUAAGAUAUGGCCCCUGAUCUCAAGAACUAAGAUUAUAGUUAGGGAAAUUCUGCAUUGUUCUUUAUUUAUUCUACAAGCAUUUAUUUAGCAUAUAUGCUAAGUACUGUUCUAAGUGCUGUGGAUUCAAUGUUAACCAAAGCAAAUAACUUCACUGCUCUUAUGAUGCUGACGUUCUAGAGGGGGAAGACAAAAAAACAAUCAUACAAACAAAUACACGAUACAAAUUCAGAUAAAUGCUAUUAAAAUGAAAUCAGGUCAUAGAAAAACUAUUUUAUUUGAGAUCUUUAAAAAAAAUUUUAAUGUUUAUUAUUUUUAAGAGAGACAGAGACAAAAAGCAAGCAGGGAAGCGGCAGAGAGAGAGAGGGAAACAGAAUUGGAAGCCCGUUCCAGGCUCUGAGCUGUCAGCACAGAGCCCGACUCCAGGCUCAAACUCACAUACUUCGAGAUCAUGACCUGAGCUGAAGUUGGCCGCUUAACCAACUGAGCCACCCAGGCACCCCUUUUUGAGAUCUUAAUGGCAAGACUUGAGAACAGAGUUCCAACCAGAGGGAAGAGCAAGUUCAAAGUCACCCAGGUGGGAACACAAACUUGAAGUGUUCAGUAAUACUGGCUGCCUGUUCACACCAUGCCCUUCACAUCUUCCCUUCGGGAGCAGAUAUGGGGUUGGGUGUAAGACAAUCUGCCUUAGGGGAGCUACAGCAUCCUAUGUGGGCACUGAAUUUCACUAGAUUUGUUUAAUUACUUUGGAGGAGGUAAAGCCCAUGUCUUCUCCUGCAGAGCUAUUUUCGUAUUGAGCAGUGAAAGACCGGUAAGAUCGAAAGACAAGCACUCAGGAGCCACCGAAGUUGCUUCAGCAGGUGUCUUUGAGAGACGACACUAAGGCCGCCGCUGCAGCAUAGAAAGAAUCUGGGGUGACCGUUAGGAGCAAGUGGUAAUUUCCUCCAUGCAGGUGAUGCUUCUGCAAAAGGGAGCACCCCUUCCUUGAUCUACUCAGGAUGGAAGGCAUUUUCCAAAAUCCAUCUGGGACAACAUGAUAUUCGGUGUGGCUCCCAGUUUCUAUGAAGCAAGAAGCAUCUCAAACUACAUGGAUGAGCAAGAAACGGGAAGAACUGGUGCUUAAUACAAACCCACAGAGGGAGCUAGUUCACAUCAAGGUGGGGAUCCGAUCUGUUCACUAAAGACAAAGGAACCAGGAGUAUGAGCAUUUUAAAGCUGACAAGCAUCUUCCUGACUGGUCCAAGUUGAAGCCCCAGGAGUGGAUCAAGAUAUUCCUACCCCAGGAGGGCACAGAAGGCAAGCCCGGAGCGGUGCAGAAGGUAACAAGGACCGCCUUAGUGGAGAACCCACGGUGGACUGGAGCUGACAACAUCGUUAGAGCAAAUUGGUUUCCAAGGGCUCCUUUUUAAAUGAGGGAACGCAGCCGCACUACCUCUGUCUCCCCAAAGAGGAUUCAUCUCAUCCCUGCCUGUCUGAAACCUGGAUGCUGCAGACUGGGGAUUUCGUAAACAAAGAACUCUGUGAGGCAAGCACUCUUACGGCUCCAUAUUAAAGCUGAGGUCCCCGAGGCCCAAAGGAUGGAGUGAUUCUUCAAGGUCACGUCCUUCGUGAGCAGUGCAGCCAGCAUUUGAACGGAGCAGAAAGUUGAAAAUGUGGCUACAAAGUUCAGGAGCAACCAUGGGAAUAGAAAUCUCGCUGCAGAGUCAAGAGCAGAGACUUGUUACCGAAUGAACAGGCAUAUCCAGGAAUAGCAUGGAGAUGGGGACACAAGUGGUCUGAGCCGGAGCCUGGGGGACACUGGACAGAAGACAUGAAGUAUAACAGAAUGUACAGCUCAGUCUGGAUGAGGUGGGAAAAAAAGCCAAGGCAUUCCCUCCUUCCUCUUUCCUCCUGGUAGAAGUGUACCAGGGCUUAUGGGCCUGAAAUACAUGUAGUUUGGGAGGAGGGCCUAUUUAAGAAAAAGAACACAAAAUUUAUAAAACCAAAAUUAGGGACAAAGUGGAUAUUAUUUAGAAUGGGAAAAGAAGUCACACAUAUUAUAAAUUUUUUAAACCCAGAUACAUGCCACAAAUACUACAAAAUUCAGAAAAUAAUAUGAUCUAU
Molecule: long non-coding RNA, 2592 nt
Organism: Neofelis nebulosa (Clouded leopard)
Lineage: Eukaryota; Metazoa; Chordata; Mammalia; Carnivora; Felidae
Exons: 5
Source: RefSeq, a predicted model, not a curated record